This 459-nucleotide ribosomal RNA is filed under the name uncultured bacterium. Its description in RNAcentral is "partial 16S ribosomal RNA". It matches the Rfam family "Bacterial small subunit ribosomal RNA", at positions 338 to 795 of the family's 1533-position model. The record is from RNAcentral.
CCUACGGGAGGCAGCAGUGAGGAAUAUUGGUCAAUGGGAGAGAUCCUGAACCAGCCAAGCCGCGUGAGGGAAGACGGCCCUAUGGGUUGUAAACCUCUUUUGUCGGAGAACAAAACCCGGGACGAGUCCCGGACUGCGUGUAUCCGAAGAAAAAGCAUCGGCUAACUCCGUGCCAGCAGCCGCGGUAAUACGGAGGAUGCGAGCGUUAUCCGGAUUUAUUGGGUUUACAGGGUGCGUAGGCGGUCUGUUAAGUCAGCGGGAAAAUUGCGGGGCUCAACCCCGUCGCGCCGUUGAAACUGGCAGACUUGAGUUGGCGAGAAGUACGCGGAAUGCGCGGUGGAGCGGUGAAAUGCAUAGAGAUCGCGCAGAACUCCGAUUGCGAAGGCAGCGUACCGGCGCCAGACUGACGCUGAGGCACGAAAGCGUGGGGAUCGAACAGGAUUAGAUACCCCGGUAGUC